Molecule: unclassified non-coding RNA, 245 nt
Filed under: Hevea brasiliensis (rubber tree)
Lineage: Eukaryota; Viridiplantae; Streptophyta; Magnoliopsida; Malpighiales; Euphorbiaceae
Source: RNAcentral
AUCGGCAUGAUUGUGCGCGCCGGCGCCGAAAACCGCGAGAUGACGCGCACACUCGGCAUCAACUUCGACACCGUCAACCAUUACGUGUUCGCGGUCGGCAUUGCGCUGGCCGCACUGGGCGGCAUCGUCGUGGCGCCGGUGUCGACUGUCUAUCCCGGCAUGGGCGACAGCAUGCUGAUCCUUUCAUUCGUUGUCGUGGUGCUCGGCGGCAUCGGCUCGAUCGGCGGCGCAGCGAUCGGCGCGCU